RNAcentral lists this ribosomal RNA (466 nucleotides) under uncultured bacterium. RNAcentral's name for it is "partial 16S ribosomal RNA". It matches the Rfam family "Bacterial small subunit ribosomal RNA", at positions 28 to 507 of the family's 1533-position model. The record is from RNAcentral.
GAUGAACGCUGGCGGCGUGCUUAACACAUGCAAGUCGAACGAUGAAGCCCAGCUUGCUGGGUGGAUUAGUGGCGAACGGGUGAGUAACACGUGAGUAACCUGCCCUUGACUCUGGGAUAAGCGCUGGAAACGGCGUCUAAUACCGGAUACGAGCUUCCACCGCAUGGUGAGUUGCUGGAAAGAAUUUCGGUCAAGGAUGGGCUCGAGGCCUAUCAGGUAGUUGGUGAUGUAACGGCUCACCAAGCCGACGACGGGUAGCCGGCCUGCGAGGGUGACCGGCCACACUGGGACUGCGACACGGCCCAGACUCCUACGGGAGGCAGCAGUGGGGAAUAUUGCACAAUGGGCGCAAGCCUGAUGCAGCAACGCCGCGUGAGGGACGAAGGCCUUCGGGUCGUAAACCUCUUUUAGCAGGGAAGAAGCGAAAGUGACGGUACCUGCAGAAAAAGCACCGGCUAACUACGUG